ACUCGUGAAUGGCUGACUCCCUGAAGGUGACGGUGUUUUCUGUGAUCUUUGCAUAGGCUGAGAUGAAAGGGUCAGAGAUCAGAGAAAGGAUUCUGGGCCUGGUGUCACUUGGUGUGGUUGCAAUAAAGAGACAAAAUUAGCAUCAGGCUACUCUUCACUUGCUCUCCAGGUGACCUUCCCAGGGCUACCUGGGAGAUAUUGUCUCAGUCUGCAAACUCCUUCUAGGGCAAGGGCAGUGGGUGGCCCAGAACAGCAUCUGCAGAUAGGUAAUUAUUAUGUGCUUUUGAUGAUGAUGAGAUAAUAUUAGGUAUUUGGAGAUUUAUAAAAUAUUCAAAUGGAAAUUGUCCUUGAAGAUCCUCCCCAGCUAGCUUCUCAGCACCCUGAGUUCCUUUAGCUGAGGGGAGUGAAAGUGUUCACAGCUUGCCUUCAGGCUGAGUCUAGAGAAAGCUCUCCUCUGAAAAGGAGUACAGUACAUUCCUGCCUGCUGUAUUCACACUUGUGUUUCUCUGCCUCUCUCAUGAUCUGUAUACAGCUGAGCCUUGAACAACAUGGGUGUGAACUGUACAGGUCCAUUUUAGGCAGAAUUUUUUCAAUAAAAGUUACACUGAGGGCCGUGUGUGGUGGGUCAUGCCUUUAAUCCCAGCACUUUGGGAGGCUGAGGCCUGAGGAUCACUUGAAGCCAGGAGUUGAAGACCAGCCUGGGCAAAAAAGCAAGACUGUCUCUACAAAAAAAAAAAAUUAAAAAAAUGUAGCCUGGCCUGGGGGUGCAUGCCUGUAAUCCCAGCUACUUGGAAGGCUGGGGCGGGAUUGCUUGAGGCCAGGAGUUUGGACGCUGCAGUGAGCUAUGCUCGCGUCAUUGCACUCCAGACUGUGCAACAGAUCAAGACCACAUCUCUAAAAAUAGAUAAAAGUUAUACCAAGUGUGCCUGCCUUUCCUGCCUCCCCUUCCACCUUCUCCACCUCUGC
This 966-nucleotide long non-coding RNA is filed under the name Homo sapiens (human). Its description in RNAcentral is "HSALNT0219118". The record is from RNAcentral. Lineage: Eukaryota; Metazoa; Chordata; Mammalia; Primates; Hominidae.